GAUGAAGAACGUAGCGAAAUGCGAUAAGUAAUGUGAAUUGCAGAAUUCAGUGAAUCAUCGAAUCUUUGAACGCACAUUGCGCCCGCCAGCAUUCUGGCGGGCAUGCCUGUUCGAGCGUCAUUUCAACCCUCGAGCCCCCCCGGGGGCCUCGGUGUUGGGGGACGGCACACCAGCCGCCCCCGAAAUGCAGUGGCGACCCCGCCGCAGCCUCCCCUGCGUAGUAGCACACACCUCGCACCGGAGCGCGGAGGCGGUCACGUCGUAAAACGCCCAACUUUCUUAGAGUUGACCUCGGAUCAGGUAGGAAUACCCGCUGAACUUAAGCAUAUCAAUAAGCGGAGGA
This 343-nucleotide unclassified non-coding RNA is filed under the name soil metagenome. RNAcentral describes it as "partial contains 5.8S ribosomal RNA, internal transcribed spacer 2, and large subunit ribosomal RNA". The stretch from base 1 to 120 matches the Rfam family "5.8S ribosomal RNA", at positions 35 to 154 of the family's 154-position model. The record is from RNAcentral.